This 251-nucleotide ribosomal RNA is filed under the name uncultured prokaryote. RNAcentral describes it as "partial 16S rRNA". It matches the Rfam family "Bacterial small subunit ribosomal RNA", at positions 525 to 775 of the family's 1533-position model. The record is from RNAcentral.
ACGGGGGGUGCAAGCGUUGAUCGGAAUCACUGGGCGUAAAGAGCGCGUAGGCGGCCUGAUAUGUCAGAUGUGAAAGCCCUGGGCUCAACCCAGGAAGUGCAUUGGAAACUGUCAGGCUCGAGUAGGGGAGAGGGAAGCGGAAUUCCUGGUGUAGAGGUGAAAUUCGUAGAUAUCAGGAGGAACACCGGUGGCGAAGGCGACCACCUGGCCCUAAACUGACGCUGAGGCGCGAGAGCGUGGGUAGCAAACAG